This is a transfer RNA of Babjeviella inositovora NRRL Y-12698, 71 nucleotides long. It matches the Rfam family "tRNA". From Rfam's summary of the family: Transfer RNA (tRNA) molecules are approximately 80 nucleotides in length. Lineage: Eukaryota; Fungi; Ascomycota; Pichiomycetes; Serinales. The record is from Rfam.
GCAAUCGUAAGUUAAUGGUAAACUCGUCGGUUUCCACCCGGUCUAUGCGCGUUCAAUUCGCGUCGAUUGUA